UACCGUAAUGCAAAAUCCAAAGGUCCCGCACUCGACCUAAUUGUAAAUACAAACGUAACGCUACCCACAUCAAUGGUAAUAUCUAGAAACAGGACAAAAUAAUUUAGUAGCACUGCACAGCACUAAUUUAUCCAUACUGGAUUUACCACUUCCGGCUUCCGCUAUCCAAAACCUUUGUCAGCCGUAUUAGUGACGUUACUUAGCUGUGCAGCAUUAAAUGCUGCCGCCUUUCUGUUUUUACUCUAGUUUGGCACUAAUCUCUACUUUCAAAAAGGAAGUCCUCAGCCGCAAAAGUGGGAAUUAGCAGACGGCUCGUUGAGCCUAUCGAAGUCUAGCUACAGAUUCAGAUAGGGGCGGAGCUUUGCAAGUUGUGAAUUAUCACAUGAUCAACAGUCAUGAUGUGGCAGUAAAUUUGGUCGAAAAGGUGUGAGAUUAGCGCUCUAAAGAUUUUCUGGAGUUAAGCAAGUCACACAGUGGACCUACUUGCCAAUGAAGUUCAGAAAGUAGCUCUCAGCUGGACAGUUUGGAUGCUGGAAUGUCUUUGAUCACUGCUGUGAAGGACCUGGGCCGGUUUGACUACCAGAGAAAACUCUUUUGCCUCCCAGGCUGGCUGAUGCUCUAACGGACUUCAGUACGCUUUGAUACAAAGGGAGCCAGCUUGCAUCAUUUCAGUCUUCUUGCUGCCGGAACCUAAAACAGUGUACACGUGUCAGUCGGUCAGCAUGAGAGAAGUCAUUGG
This is a long non-coding RNA of Protopterus annectens (West African lungfish), 739 nucleotides long. RefSeq lists it as uncharacterized. The record is from RefSeq and is a predicted model, not a curated record. The transcript has 4 exons. Lineage: Eukaryota; Metazoa; Chordata; Ceratodontiformes; Protopteridae.